Molecule: long non-coding RNA, 1834 nt
Filed under: Panax ginseng (ginseng)
Lineage: Eukaryota; Viridiplantae; Streptophyta; Magnoliopsida; Apiales; Araliaceae
Description: long non-coding RNA (PGIN_LNC005075)
Source: RNAcentral
UCAGUCUCUGGUUCUCUGCCCUAACCAAAAGCCUCCGCCUUCGCACUCUACCCGACUCCGCCUCUGCCCUCUCCCCGACUCCGUCUCCGGCCUCUCCGCACCUCCGCCUCCGCUCCCUCGUGGCCCCGCCCCUCUGCCUCUUAAGUCUCAUCUCUCACCGGUUCCAAAUUUCCAAUCUUCGACUUCCAUCGGACCAUCUCUCACGACUUUUCUUUUGUUAACACAACUGCAGAAGCAGCAAGCAGGUAAUUCAAAAUCUUCCAUCUACUAUCCAAAUUAAUGAGAAGCUUUCACAUGUAUGAUUUAUAUUAGUUGUUAUGGGGUUAUGGAUUUAGCUGUUUAGAUGUGUAAUUGGACCAAUUUUGUGUUAUGUUUCUGUUAUAGUUUCAAUUGAAUUUUAUGAAUUUUGAAAACAUGGCUUUUCUCUACUCUUGUUAUUGCGUUCCUAAUUUGUGAAUGGAUUAAUUUUGUUUAUUUUUUUUCUUCAUCUUCAGUCUUUCUAGGUUCUAAACUGUAAGCAAUUCAGUAGCCAAUGUUUAACUACUAAUUUUUUUGAUGGUCAUAUUAUUUUGCAUGACAUCAAUCUUCAGUUUGUGGAAAGUGUUUCAUUAUUCUACUUCAUACAGAAAACAUCUUAAAUUAUUUUACUUCUUGAAAACAUCUUCUAAACUCUAAAAGUAAUUAACUAAACUUUUACACAUUUUAGUUUUCAAAAUUUGAUAAAUUCACAAAAAGAGAGUUUAUAUUUGUUAGAUUUAUUCUUUAAGUAGUUGCUAUUUGUGGACCUUGUGGUUCAUAUCUACUGAUCUCAAGCAUUGAAAUUCAUAAUUACAACUAUUGAGUGUAUGUUCUGAGACUUGUAUUUCCACAAAAGUUAUCAAUUGGGAUGUUAUAUAUAUAUAUAUAUAUAUAUAUAUAUAUAUAUAUAUAUAUAUAUAUAUAUAUAAUUACAACUAUUGCCUUCAUCGAUUUUCCUUGAGUUGAUAAACUAUCACAAAUUAUUGCAGUUCCAAGGGAAGUAUAGAGUGAUUAGUUGCUGAAUGUUUAAUGACUAUAGGCUUGAGAUGAAACACUCUUCUGGGCUGGUUUAAGAAGGCACUAAGAAACAGAAGAAACAAUGCUUUGUUGGGGGUGGAAACACCAACGACAUUCACAAAUAUAAACCAGUAUCAUGUGGUGCCUGUUCAAAAGAACCUGAUUCUUUUGGUUAUUAAAAAUUUGUGUUAUUGUGAAGAAAAUUAGGGAAGAAUGACGGAUUUUAUUAAGAAGUGAUGAUGUUGAAAAUUGUCACGCUAUGCUAGCCUGCUCAUUGUAGUUUCCUUAUUUCCUGCUUCAUUUAUUAGUGCUCGAGUGAAAGAAAUUUCUGGCUUUUGCUUUUUCUGUGAAUUGUGAUAUAUAUAACUGUUGAUUUUCCAAACUGUACAAGCUUAUCAAAUAAUUUUUUUUAGAGAAUAUCGGCCUGGGUCAAGCUUAUAUUCUUUUUUCUAAUUCUUCUUACUUUUAGUAGCUGAAUAUAUUUUUCAAUCAUCUGCCGUUUUUUAUUCUAAUCAUUAAUUUGAUCAAUGAUAUCGAGAAUCAAACUGUCUUCUUUAGACAAAACAUUGAUUGAUACUCCGUUUAAGGCACACGGACAUGAUUCUUCGUUUUCGCAAUUGCAAUCAUCAAGAUCUGAUGUUGAUACUUCGCUGCUACUGGUACUUGAUGAUUCCUCUGAAUCAUAGUCCAAAGAUGAAUCAUAUUCUUCUUCAGAAUUUAACAGAACUGCUAAGAGCUGCCUUUUUAGGCCUUCAUCUUUAACCAGUUGGUUAAUUUUCUGCUUAGUGGUACAUUCAGG